RNAcentral lists this ribosomal RNA (774 nucleotides) under uncultured Neocallimastigales. Its description in RNAcentral is "partial large subunit ribosomal RNA". It matches the Rfam family "Eukaryotic large subunit ribosomal RNA", at positions 24 to 649 of the family's 3401-position model. Lineage: Eukaryota; Fungi; Neocallimastigomycota; Neocallimastigomycetes; Neocallimastigales. The record is from RNAcentral.
UACGACUACAUAUCAGGCAUAUCAAUAAGCGGAGGAAAAGAAACUAACAAGGAUUCCCUUAGUAACGGCGAGUGAAGCGGGAAGAGCUCAAAUUUGAAAUCUUCAAGGUUCUACCUUGACGAAUUGUAGUUUAAAGAAGUGUUUUCUGUUAGAUGAGUAGCAAAAGUUCCUUGGAAUGGGACAUCAUAGAGGGUGAGAAUCCCGUAUUUGGUUAUUCAUUCUAGCUUUGUGAUACACUUUCAAAGAGUCGGAUUGUUUGGGAAUGCAGUCCAAAAUGGGUGGUAAAUUUCAUCUAAAGCUAAAUAUUGGCGAGAGACCGAUAGCGAACAAGUACCGUGAGGGAAAGAUGAAAAGAACUUUGUAAAGAGAGUUAAACAGUACGUGAAAUUGUCAAAAGGGAAGCGUUUGACACCAGUGUUGUUUUUCCGAAAAUCAAUUACGAAUGGCUUGAUUUUGUGUUGUAUUGACCUUAUCAGCUUUCUGCACUUUUUUCGAGUCUUUCUUAAUGCACUUUUCGGUUAACAAGUCAACAUCAAUUUCUUUUGUUGUAAAAGAGUAUUCGGAAGGUGGCUUUCUUUUCGGAGAAAGUGUUUAUAGCCCUAUACUUCUACAAUCGGAGAGAUUGAGGUCUGCAGCGUAGAUCCUUCGGGGUUAGAUACACUUGUGCUAAGUUGUAGCUUUUCAUAGACAACUUGUUGACUAUGUUUAGUCAUGCGGCUUACUCGCUUAUGCUAUUUUACCUACGCUUAGGAUGUUGAGUAGCGACAUACGCAC